UACGUAGGUGGCAAGCGUUAUCCGGAUUUACUGGGUGUAAAGGGAGCGCAGACGGAACUGCAAGUCUGAUGUGAAAGCCCGGGGCUCAACCGCGGGACUGCAUUGGAAACUGUAGAUCUGGAGUGCCGGAGGGGCAAGCGGAAUUCCUGGUGUAGCGGUGAAAUGCGUAGAUAUCAGGAGGAACACCGGCGGCGAAGGCGGCUUUCUGGCCAGUUACUGACGCUCAUGCGCGAAAGCUGGGGUAGCGAACCGGAUUAGAUACCCU
This 265-nucleotide ribosomal RNA is filed under the name uncultured prokaryote. RNAcentral describes it as "partial 16S ribosomal RNA". It matches the Rfam family "Bacterial small subunit ribosomal RNA", at positions 524 to 788 of the family's 1533-position model. The record is from RNAcentral.